This 455-nucleotide long non-coding RNA is filed under the name Vigna radiata. RNAcentral's name for it is "long non-coding RNA (VRAD_LNC006207)". The record is from RNAcentral. Lineage: Eukaryota; Viridiplantae; Streptophyta; Magnoliopsida; Fabales; Fabaceae.
GGAAAGUUUAACGGACAAAAAGAAUUGAAAUUUUUUUGUAGAAGAAGAAGAAGAUGGAUGGUAACUAUGGUGAAGGAUCAUGGAGAAGGGAAAUUUCGAGAAGAAACCCUGGUAGAAGCUAGCUGUUUCAAAAGACAUGGAAAGAGAAAAAGCUGAAAGUUGUAUAAUAGUUUGAAAUGAGAAGCAUGCAAAUGGUGAGAGAAAUAGAAAAGAGAGAGAAAAAAGUGUCAGGAAAAGCAGAGGAGAGAGAAUAAAAAUACAAUCACGUAAGCGGAAGUUAACGCCGUUUCUACCUAUUUAAUGGAAGGGAUCGAAUUCUUUCAAAAUUCAUAAUAUGAGAACAAAAUAGCUUCAUUUUUAAAACCGAGUACAAAACAAAAUUUCAACUCCUAACUUGAGAACGAAAUAGUAUUUAAGCCAAUUAUUAAUGCAUUGUAAAAUCAUAUGUCUUGUAU